AACGAACGCUGGCGGCAGGCUUAACACAUGCAAGUCGAGCGCCCCGCAAGGGGAGCGGCAGACGGGUGAGUAACGCGUGGGAAUCUACCCAUCCCUACGGAAUAGCUCCGGGAAACUGGAAUUAAUACCGUAUACGCCCUACGGGGGAAAGAUUUAUCGGGGAAGGAUUGGCCCGCGUUGGAUUAGCUAGUUGGUGGGGUAAAGGCCUACCAAGGCGACGAUCCAUAGCUGGUCUGAGAGGAUGAUCAGCCACAUUGGGACUGAGACACGGCCCAAACUCCUACGGGAGGCAGCAGUGGGGAAUAUUGGACAAUGGGCGCAAGCCUGAUCCAGCCAUGCCGCGUGAGUGAUGAAGGCCUUAGGGUUGUAAAGCUCUUUCACCGAUGAAGAUAAUGACGGUAGUCGGAGAAGAAGCCCCGGCUAACUUCGUGCCAGCAGCCGCCGUAA
Molecule: ribosomal RNA, 447 nt
Filed under: uncultured bacterium
Lineage: Bacteria
Description: partial 16S ribosomal RNA
Rfam family: Bacterial small subunit ribosomal RNA
Source: RNAcentral